Molecule: ribosomal RNA, 802 nt
Filed under: uncultured bacterium
Lineage: Bacteria
Description: bacterial SSU rRNA
Rfam family: Bacterial small subunit ribosomal RNA
Source: RNAcentral
UCGAACGAGCGAGAGAGAGCUUGCUUUCUCGAGCGAGUGGCGAACGGCCGUGUAACGCGUGAGGAAUCUGCCUCAAAGAGGGGGACAACAGUUGGAAACGACUGCUAAUACCGCAUAAGCCCACGGUGCCGCAUGGCACAGAGGGAAAAGGAGUAAUCCGCUUUGAGAUGGCCUCGCGUCCGAUUAGCUAGUUGGUGAGGUAACGGCCCACCAAGGCGACGAUCGGUAGCCGGACUGAGAGGUUGAACGGCCACAUUGGGACUGAGACACGGCCCAGACUCCUACGGGAGGCAGCAGUGGGGAAUAUUGCACAAUGGGGGAAACCCUGAUGCAGCGACGCCGCGUGGAGGAAGAAGGUCUUCGGAUUGUAAACUCCUGUUGUUGGGGAAGAUAAUGACGGUACCCAACAAGGAAGUGACGGCUAACUACGUGCCAGCAGCCGCGGUAAAACGUAGGUCACAAGCGUUGUCCGGAAUUACUGGGUGUAAAGGGAGCGCAGGCGGAAAGACAAGUUGGAAGUGAAAUCUAUGGGCUCAACCCAUAAACUGCUUUCAAAACUGUUUUUCUUGAGUAGUGCAGAGGUAGGCGGAAUUCCCGGUGUAGCGGUGGAAUGCGUAGAUAUCGGGAGGAACACCAGUGGCGAAGGCGGCCUACUGGGCACCAACUGACGCUGAGGCUCGAAAGUGUGGGUAGCAAACAGGAUUAGAUACCCUGGUAGUCCACACCGUAAACGAUGAUUACUAGGUGUUGGAGGAUUGACCCCUUCAGUGCCGCAGUUAACACAAUAAGUAAUCCACCUGGG